UCCGGCGUAGCUCAAUGGUGGAGCGGCCCGCUGUUAACGGGAAGGUUGUAGGUUCGAGUCCUACCGCCGGAG
Molecule: transfer RNA, 72 nt
Filed under: Elusimicrobiota bacterium
Lineage: Bacteria; Pseudomonadati; Elusimicrobiota
Description: Elusimicrobia bacterium (groundwater metagenome) tRNA-Asn
Rfam family: tRNA
About the family: Transfer RNA (tRNA) molecules are approximately 80 nucleotides in length.
Source: RNAcentral